AUACGGAGGUGGCAAGCGUUACUCGGAAUCAUUGGGUGUAAAGGGCAAGUAGGCGGCCUGAUAAGUGAGGGGUGAAAUCCUGCGACUCAAUCGCAGAAGUGCCUUUCAAACUGACAGGCUUGAGACAGGAAGAGGAAAAUGGAAUUCCUGGUGUAAGGGUGAAAUCUGUAGAUAUCAGGAAGAACACCGGCGGCGAAGGCGAUUUUCUGGUCCUGUUCUGACGCUAAAUUGCGAAAGCUAGGGGAGCAAACAGAAUUAGAUACCCCGGUAGUCC
Molecule: ribosomal RNA, 274 nt
Filed under: uncultured bacterium
Lineage: Bacteria
Description: partial 16S ribosomal RNA
Rfam family: Bacterial small subunit ribosomal RNA
Source: RNAcentral